GCAGGCGCGAAAACUUUACAAUGCGGGAAACCGUGAUAAGGGGACACCGAGUGCCAGCAUCAUAUGCUGGCUGUCCAGAUGUGUAAAAUACAUCUGUUAGCAAGGGCCGGGCAAGACCGGUGCCAGCCGCCGCGGUAACACCGGCGGCCCGAGUGGUGAUCGUGAUUAUUGGGUCUAAAGGGUCCGUAGCCGGUUUGGUCAGUCCUCCGGGAAAUCUGAUGGCUCAACCAUUAGGCUUUCGGGGGAUACUGCCAGGCUUGGAACCGGGAGAGGUAAGAGGUACUACAGGGGUAGGAGUGAAAUCUUGUAAUCCCUGUGAGACCACCUGUGGCGAAGGCGUCUUACCAGAACGGGUUCGACGGUGAGGGACGAAAGCUGGGGGCACGAACCGGAUUAGAUACCCGGGUAGUCCCAGCCGUAAACGAUGCUCGCUAGGUGUCAGGCAUGGCGCGACCGUGUCUGGUGCCGCAGGGAAGCCGUGAAGCGAGCCACCUGGGAAGUACGGCCGCAAGGCUGAAACUUAAAGGAAUUGGCGGGGGAGCACAACAACGGGUGGAGCCUGCGGUUUAAUUGGACUCAACGCCGGACAACUCACCGGGGACGAC
Molecule: ribosomal RNA, 605 nt
Filed under: uncultured archaeon
Lineage: Archaea
Description: bacterial SSU rRNA
Rfam family: Archaeal small subunit ribosomal RNA
Source: RNAcentral